AGUGAACGCUGGCGGUGGGCCUAACACAUGCAAGUCGAACGGCAGCACAGUAAGAGCUUGCUCUUACGGGUGGCGAGUGGCGGACGGGUGAGGAAUACAUCGGAAUCUACUUUUUCGUGGGGUAUAACGUAGGGAAACUUACGCUAAUACCGCAUACGACCUACGGGUGAAAGCAGGGGAUCUUCGGACCUUGCGCGAUUGAAUGAGCCGAUGUCGGAUUAGCUAGUUGGCGGGGUAAAGGCCCACCAAGGCGACGAUCCGUAGCUGGUCUGAGAGGAUGAUCAGCCACACUGGAACUGAGACACGGUCCAGACUCCUACGGGAGGCAGCAGUGGGGAAUAUUGGACAAUGGGCGCAAGCCUGAUCCAGCCAUACCGCGUGGGUGAAGAAGGCCUUCGGGUUGUAAAGCCCUUUUGUUGGGAAAGAAAAGCAGCAGGUUAAUACCCCGCUGUUCUGACGGUACCCAAAGAAUAAGCACCGGCUAACUUCGUG
RNAcentral lists this ribosomal RNA (492 nucleotides) under uncultured bacterium. Its description in RNAcentral is "partial 16S ribosomal RNA". It matches the Rfam family "Bacterial small subunit ribosomal RNA", at positions 29 to 507 of the family's 1533-position model. The record is from RNAcentral.